GCAAAAUCCAGCUCAAUUUCCUCGUCAAUCAAAUAUAUCGUAGUAAUUGAAAGCCUUGAUCAGCAUUUAUUAUGCGCAAAAAUGUUCAAUUAUGAGCAAUUACAACAAACAGAACUACAGAAGCAAAUUUACACUAAGAAACCUGAAACCCUGUUCGGAUUAUCUAUCACUUUAUUCAAUGAGCAACCAAAGCAUCAUUAUUUAACACAGUAAUUAAAGAAUCAUUAUUAUUGUUAUUACUACUAUUAGAGUCUAGAACUGGGCUAGAAGGACCGAGAUUAAGAAAGAACACAGAUCUAGCAGCCAUGAGCUUCUUUCUUUUCAGAUAUCGGGGACCAUAGAUCUUGCUGAGGAGGCAAGGAACUUGAUCAAUGAUGGAGAUCCGAGAGUGAGUGUGGAGAAAAUCAACUGGGUGGGUAGAGAAAUGAGUUACCGAGAUGGGUUUGUGAGAUCUGGCACUAAUUUUGGAGUUUCUGAGUUGGGCAAGUGCUCCAGGCUUUAAAUAUCUAUAGAAGCAUUCGUUUCCUUUCGCGGUGGCUAGUGAUCUUGAAAUGGGUUUCAUAUUUGUGAGGAAAAUUCUGGAGGAAGAAAAGGAGGGAAAGAGAAGGGAAGGAGUGUGGUGGAAGUGCAGAUAGAGGAAGAGUGAGAGGGUGUUCAUUAUUAAGUAGC
This 669-nucleotide unclassified non-coding RNA is filed under the name Hevea brasiliensis (rubber tree). The record is from RNAcentral. Lineage: Eukaryota; Viridiplantae; Streptophyta; Magnoliopsida; Malpighiales; Euphorbiaceae.